Molecule: ribosomal RNA, 429 nt
Filed under: Pseudomonadota bacterium
Lineage: Bacteria; Pseudomonadati; Pseudomonadota
Description: Proteobacteria bacterium partial 16S ribosomal RNA
Rfam family: Bacterial small subunit ribosomal RNA
Source: RNAcentral
UGGGGAAUAUUGGACAAUGGGCGAAAGCCUGAUCCAGCCAUGCCGCGUGUGUGAAGAAGGUCUUCGGAUUGUAAAGCACUUUAAGUUGGGAGGAAGGGCAGUAAGCGAAUACCUUGCUGCUUUGACGUUACCGACAGAAUAAGCACCGGCUAACUCUGUGCCAGCAGCCGCGGUAAUACAGAGGGUGCAAGCGUUAAUCGGAAUUACUGGGCGUAAAGCGCGCGUAGGUGGUUCGUUAAGUUGAAUGUGAAAGCCCCGGGCUCAACCUGGGAACUGCAUCCAAAACUGGCGAGCUGGAGUAGGGCAGAGGGUGGUGGAAUUUCCUGUGUAGCGGUGAAAUGCGUAGAUAUAGGAAGGAACACCAGUGGCGAAGGCGACCACCUGUGCUCAUACUGACACUGAGGUGCGAAAGCGUGGGGAGCAAACAGG